UUUUAUGGUGGCUAUGUGCGGGCGGACUUCGGUCCGGCCGGAGGUUUGCUGGUCUUUGCCCGGUUUCUCACCCCGCACAUAGCUGCCACCCAA
RNAcentral lists this non-coding RNA (93 nucleotides) under Pseudomonas baetica. The record is from RNAcentral. Lineage: Bacteria; Pseudomonadati; Pseudomonadota; Gammaproteobacteria; Pseudomonadales; Pseudomonadaceae.